GGGGGGAUAUUAAUUUCCCCACCUAACUCCCCCCCCUCAUUUUGCAAAUACUAAGUAUUUUUCUCCAGUGGUUAAUUACUCCAAUAGUGAUCAAUAUUUUAAAAAAUGUGAUAAAUGGUUAGAAAUAGAAAGGUCAAUGUCAAAGCUCACUAGACUUUACUUGAUUUGUGCAGUGUGUGCAUGUGACCUAGGGUUUUUGUUACAAACAUUGAUAAGUUUUAUUUUUUAUUUAAUGAGCAAUAUUUAGCAUGACUUUAAUUACAAUGUACCGGUAAUGUAUGAAAACAUGGUAUUGCUGGUAAUUGUAUUAUGUGUUAUACAGCUUAUAUAUAAAUACUUAUUUCAU
Lytechinus variegatus (green sea urchin) is the source of this 346-nucleotide long non-coding RNA. RefSeq lists it as uncharacterized. Lineage: Eukaryota; Metazoa; Echinodermata; Echinoidea; Temnopleuroida; Toxopneustidae. The transcript is spliced from 3 exons. The record is from RefSeq and is a predicted model, not a curated record.